AACGAACGCUGGCGGCAUGCCUAACACAUGCAAGUCGAACGAGACCUUUGGGUCUAGUGGCGCACGGGUGCGUAACGCGUGGGAAUCUGCCCUUGGGUUCGGAAUAACAGUGAGAAAUUGCUGCUAAUACCGGAUGAUGUCUUCGGACCAAAGAUUUAUCGCCCAGGGAUGAGCCCGCGUAGGAUUAGCUAGUUGGUGGGGUAAUGGCCUACCAAGGCGACGAUCCUUAGCUGGUCUGAGAGGAUGAUCAGCCACACUGGGACUGGGACACGGCCCAGACUCCUACGGGAUGCAGGAGUGGGUGAUAUUGGACAAUGGGCGCAAGCCUGAUCCAGCAAGGCCGCGUGAGUGAUGAAGGCCUUAGGGUUGUAAAGCUCUUUUACCAGGGAUGAUAAUGACAGUACCUGGAGAAUAAGCUCCGGCUAACUCCGUG
This 433-nucleotide ribosomal RNA is filed under the name uncultured bacterium. RNAcentral describes it as "partial 16S ribosomal RNA". It matches the Rfam family "Bacterial small subunit ribosomal RNA", at positions 29 to 507 of the family's 1533-position model. The record is from RNAcentral.